CCGCUGCAUGGAUGGAGAAGACAAGUCAGUCUCCGAGGAAAAUAGCAGUACUUAGCAGCAAAUAGUGCAAGUCUGUAAUUAGACUGGAAAACCACAUUUUACACUUAGUAUACAGCUAAUAAUGUGCUAUUGAUCUGUGGUCAGAUUAUCUAAUUAUACAUUAUGUAAUGCAUUAUGAUCGUAGACAGAUUAUACACUGUGUAUUUGGGGUAAGUCAUUUAUUAAGUCAAAAUCUGUCAUAAUUAGGAUUUGGAAAAUUCCCAAAUCUAACCUGACGUCCAUUGGACACAAGGGGCUCAACACAAGGGACUUGAAAUCUUUAUAAUUGAGAGUCCAGUCCCAUUGUAAGCGUCACAUAGCCAAAAUGUCAAAAUGCAUUUUUUCCCCCCCUUUUUCCUUUAUUUGCUUUCUGACCUCUUCUCAAGAGGUUAUGGUUUCAUCACCUCAGGUUUGUUUGUUUUUGUGUGUGCAGCUUCCUAUCAGCAGUUUCUUUAAAUAUAUAUGGAGAAACUGGAUUUAUCCAAAAGUUAUCAUCAUCAUUAAAUAUAAAUAGCAAAGUAUACAGGUAUUAAAGUUGCAUAAAUUAGGAGUUUUAACUGGAGGUGUUUUUUUUUCUUCAAUAGUAGCCUUUCAAAUAAAUACAUGAUGGAUUGUUUUUUGAAACAAUGCACUUGAUUUCAGUGUGUACAUGUGGCGAAGACUCUCCGUAGAGUCCACUAGCAACCCAGGCUAAACUUAGCUCUUAUUUCCAUGACAUGAAUUUCAAUUAUGAUUUCUUUAGAGCAUUUCAAAUAGAGCACAAAAAUCAGGCCAAUUUGUGAAUAGGGACAACGUGGAGGAUUGCUUGCCUUGGCGGAGGUCAGAUUGAUUGACUGUUUUGACAGAGAGUUUGUCAAGCCUUGUGAUGUUGUCAGUCUUGGUCUUAGCUUGCACUCUCUUAGAGGAGACGCAAAAAAGGUGCCUCAUCAGCCCUUUGGGCUUCCGGAUGUCAAGCGAGGGAACAUCUGGAUGUGCGUGCACGCGCAGCUGACCAUCACGGUCGCCCUGUUGAGGACGUCCAGCGCAUCCUCCAUUUGACUUCACGUGGCACCACGAACAGCCGGCUUCUCACGGACUCAGCAAGGCGACUAAAACGGCGGCGGCGGCGGUGUUACAAUCGGUGCUUGAAGCCCUUGUGCGAGUGGGUGCAGGUGAGCACCUCUGGGUUGGAGCAGCCCACGUCCACGUACCUCUGACCCUGGAUGAUGUUGCAGCCAUAGCACUGCAGACCCGCCACUGCGGGGGGAAACAAAAGACAUCUUGACAAGGCUUUCGCCUUAGGAAGACAGUCGAAGAAAGCCACUUGAACCGAUGACAGUAUUGUGCUCAGCACUUGACGAGAAGUUAAUCUAAAAUGCCAUCAGGAUUCAUCUUGAGGGGCUGCUUUUCUAUUUCCCCCUCAUCUUGAGCGACAAGCGUAAACAAGACACACUGGUGAUCUUCUCCUCUCCAGCUUUUGGCCUCAGUGACUGACUCAGCCUCAGUAGCGCUUCACCAUUUCAAAGCUUAGCAGCCUGCAUACGUUUGGAGGCGACGGAAGAGAAAAUGACUCCAGGGAGGGAGGGAGGGAGGGGUGGGGGUUCCUUUUCAAGUGAUGAUUCAAAUGAUUUGCUCAAACAGCCGCAAGUGGAGCGCAUUGAGACCUCUAGCAAUGACUUCUUUCAGGAAUGAGCCAGGUUCUUUUUAUGGUCUGCCCAGUACUUUCAAGAAAAAAGAGCGAACCCAAUCCAUCCUCGGGGGUUAAGCGGCGAUUGUCUGUGAAUUCAAAGCCAUCGCACACACCUGCGACUGACCCGGCAAAUCCCGCACACACAAGAUGGAAGAUCAGCUUUGGAGCUGAAACCAAUCCGCCCUCUUUAUCUGCGGCGGUCCACGGAGGACACGAGCCUCUCACUUGCCCGGCCGCCGCUAAAUAGCCAAACCCAAAGCCGGGAUGGAGCUUUCAGGAGCAAACUAAUCCCGUCGCAAAUGCUCUUACAAAAAUCACUUUUGGAAAUCUGCUGGAAUCGAUGUAAAGCUUCGCCGGGGACCGGAAGUGUGUGCUGAUGUGUCAUUUCCACCCCGUAUUGGUGAUACAGGGGUCACCAACAUGGGGCCCGUGGGCAACAGGUGACCCCCAAGGACCACAAGAGUAGCCAGUCCUAAUAAGUUGAUCCAACAAGUCUUUUAACUCAAUUUUCGGAUCGAGACACUCCGUUCUGUGUCCAUUUGCACAUUUGUACCACCUCGGGGACGUUCCAAGUAUUCCAUUAGAGUAGAGGGAAGAACUGCGGCGUUUGUUCUGCGGGAUGUAAAUGAUGGCAAUUUACAAGCGGCAAAAGAAGCUGAUUUAACUGUUCGUUAGCAUGCGAUGCUGCACGCCGGCUGGCCUCAUGAAACAUUGAGGAGCUGCCCAGUUAUGAGCAUUUGUCAACAUAAUGAGGACUUACUGGAGAGACAUUCGACCCUCCCGCCUCGGCAUCCCGUUGGUACAAUCCAAUUUAUUAUGACUGCUCACCGGGGUCUAUCCAAGCAAACAUUGAUUCAUUAUAAAGAUGUCUCAAUCCAAUGGUAGCAAAGUCGGAUUCACUGUCUGCUACUUGUUUGACACACAAAAAGUAAUGCUAUUAUAUACCUAAUGAGGGAAAAAUAUUUAAAUUAUAUUUACACUGAAGAAAAAAAAAUUCUUACUAGCGUUAGCUUCAUGACAAGAAAUAUUUAAAAAAAAAACUCAGAACAGCUUGUAGGCCACUGACCUCAAACGCCCUAAUACAUUACAAAUGUACAAAUCUAAUGUAAUUCUUUAUCAUGAAUUUGUGUGCACGGAACAGCAAUCCACAAUGUAUAUUUUUAAAUUUUGUUAACGCCCGAUAGAAAUCAACAAAUGCUCUUCUAACGCAUUUGAAAUUGUGCUUUUGUAUUAAGCUCCCCUGUUGAUAGUUGUUGUUUUGAAUCCCAACAAGAAAGAAAAAAACUAAUCCUGUAUCACUCUUUAAACAAACAAAAAAAACAAUUUAAUAUUUUGGAUUAGAUUCUGUCAUGUAAAUAUAAUUUAGUUUAUGCAUCUAAAUCCUCUUGCAGUCAACGAGGGCAGCGCUCCGUAGUCAUCGUAGGCUUCAUUUUGUUUCCUCAUCUCAUUAGCGCCAUUAAUGGUCUUUGCCUUAUUGGUAAACGAGGCGUCCGAGGGCUUCAUUAGGGAGUUGGAGAUCAAAGGUGACCAUGUACUCUGGAGACACUAAAGCGCUCUGUCGUCUCAGCCCCUUCAUUUCCACGUCGCAACCCCCUCCCAAGGUUACAGCAAAGCUCUGCUCUCGUCAAUUGUUACGACUCUGUUGGGAAAUUUAAGUUGCCGACUGUGGAUAUUUGGCGUGGAUUAGAAGCAAUUACAUGUGGAGCCAAGUCAUAGUUAUUGGAAAUGUGGCUUGUGGUGGUCUUAACAAUUAUUCUGCAGUGGAUCAGAAAUAUUCCACUUUUAUCACAAUUAUGUCAUUGCAAGUUGAAUGUACAGCACUUUAAUUGCAUUUAAAAAAAAAAAAAAAGCAAGAAAUUGGAUCUCGGACUGACCUUGUGU
Long non-coding RNA from Syngnathus acus (greater pipefish), 3589 nucleotides. RefSeq lists it as uncharacterized. The record is from RefSeq and is a predicted model, not a curated record. NCBI's taxonomy places the organism in Eukaryota, Metazoa, Chordata, Actinopteri, Syngnathiformes, Syngnathidae. The transcript has 3 exons.